CAGCAUUGUUAAGUGACCCCCUGGCCCUGCUGUGGCCAGCUGGGCCUCAUCACAGUGCAAGAGAAAUUCCCCUCCCUGCAGAAGGGCCAGGCCUGCUUGUGGUCUGCCCCUUUUGGACUGGGGAUACAACU
Molecule: small nucleolar RNA, 131 nt
Filed under: Notamacropus eugenii (tammar wallaby)
Lineage: Eukaryota; Metazoa; Chordata; Mammalia; Diprotodontia; Macropodidae
Source: RNAcentral